Pieris rapae (cabbage white) is the source of this 1014-nucleotide long non-coding RNA. RefSeq lists it as uncharacterized. NCBI's taxonomy places the organism in Eukaryota, Metazoa, Arthropoda, Insecta, Lepidoptera, Pieridae. The transcript is spliced from 3 exons. The record is from RefSeq and is a predicted model, not a curated record.
GUCUAGGAGCAGACGUUAAAAAUGUCAAAGUGUUCUGUGAGAAAUUGUAAAAAUAUUACGUCAAGAAGGCUAAAAAGGAUGGGAUAUCGUAUUUUCGAUAGUACUCACCAUAAGAAAGCGUUUUGUAAAGUAUUAAGUUGAAACUUACGGUUCAUGAGAUAUAUUUAUUUACACUUUCCAUACAAAUGGACAAAUAUCAUGCCUAAGCACGCCAACAAUAACAAUUAACACGAUGAAUUUGACAAGUAACUGAUGUCAUACGUCAACCAUUGCACGUAUCGAUUAGUGAAGGAUUCGAAAAAUUUGACGUAUCGAUACUACUAAACUUUCCAAUAUGGACCAUAGAUUAUUUGUAACUUAUGAUCAAAUUAAUUUAUGUAUGACUGUGUUUAUGAUAAUUGUGUAAUGUGUACUUCAUAAUAUUUUUUUUGUAUAUUUAAUAAUAUUAUAUUAAUAAAAUGAUUAAUUAAAUCUACUAUUUAUUCAAUGACUGCCUAAUAAAAACGUAGUAACCUUAAAUACAUGGCUAAGCAGAAAUAAAAAAUAUAUAUGCUGUGUUUCUAUAUAGGGUCCUUGUCGUUGAUAUAAAUGUGACAUUCUUCUUCAAAGGCAGAAAAAUCUAACCAGGAUUUUUUGAACAUUGGAACCUACUUAUAAAAUAGGAUGAAUCUACUGGAGACAAGACAUGAUGAAGAGUGGAUUGAAAAAUUGGUUCUGAGAUAAAAAUUGUAACCUGACACCUUCAGGAGUGAUUUGAGAGCGGAAUCCACUGUGAGAUUUUGUAAAGUGAGUUACAGAAUCAACCGGCAGUCUUCUUUUUAUUUUAGUCGCAUUUUAAAAAUGACCCUGUUCUAAUAAGUGGUUGAUUUUUUUAUUUGUGUUUUUUAAUUGACUGUGACAAUUCAAAAGUGCCUGUAACUGGCCUACUUGAUUUGAUUUUUGCAAAAUAAAUACCAUUCAUCAUUAUCAUUUUGAACCAAAUAUUUGAAUAAACAAUUUUAACAGUUAUUAUUG